GUAGGGAAUCUUCCACAAUGGACGAAAGUCUGAUGGAGCAACGCCGCGUGAGUGAAGAAGGUCUUCGGAUCGUAAAACUCUGUUGUUAGAGAAGAACGUGCAUGAUAGUAACUGAUCAUGUAAUGACGGUAUCUAACCAGAAAGCCACGGCUAACUACGUGCCAGCAGCCGCGGUAAUACGUAGGUGGCAAGCGUUGUCCGGAUUUAUUGGGCGUAAAGGGAACGCAGGCGGUUUUUUAAGUCUGAUGUGAAAGCCUUCGGCUUAACCGAAGAAUAGCAUUGGAAACUGAAAGACUUGAGUGCAGAAGAGGAGAGUGGAAUUCCAUGUGUAGCGGUGAAAUGCGUAGAUAUAUGGAGGAACACCAGUGGCGAAAGCGGCUCUCUGGUCUGUAACUGACGCUGAGAUGCGAAAGCCAGGGUAGCGAACGGGAUUAGAAACCCUUGUAGUCC
This 450-nucleotide ribosomal RNA is filed under the name uncultured bacterium. RNAcentral's name for it is "partial 16S ribosomal RNA". It matches the Rfam family "Bacterial small subunit ribosomal RNA", at positions 354 to 796 of the family's 1533-position model. The record is from RNAcentral.